Molecule: transfer RNA, 65 nt
Filed under: uncultured Geminigera
Lineage: Eukaryota; Cryptophyceae; Pyrenomonadales; Geminigeraceae
Source: RNAcentral
AUUAAACUUAUAUAAAUAACUAUUUCCACAUACAAAGCAGUUCGAGAAAUUAGUUUUAAAAAUAC